UUCCUCCCAAUCUUCAUACGUGAUGAGAACAAUUCUCAUCUCCUCCACUCCAGCCUGGGCCUCCCUGCACCAGCCUCUCUCGGGAGGUCUCUCUGUCCUGGUCCGCACCUCCUCUGCUUCUGUGGGGCCUCUCCGUAUUUCUGCUUUUCACCCCUCCUCUCUCCCGCCCCACCGACCGAGGCCGAGUUUGUUUGUUUGAGACAGAGUCUCGGUCUGUCACCCAGGCUGGAGUGCAAUAUGUGCAAUCCUGGCUCACUGCAACUUCCACCUUCUGGGCUCAAGCGAUUCUCCUGCCUCAGCCUCCCAAGUAGCUCUAAUUACAGAAGCAUGCCAUACCUAAGACCUACUACCCUGAGAAGCAGUGAAGUGCUCCUGGGGCCCACCAAGGCCACACAAGUCAAGGAGUGGAUGGCCUUGCUCCAGCUACUGCUCAGAUCACCUUUGCAAGAUGACAUUGUGUUGGGAGAUGGUCAUCAGAGCCAGGGCCAUGGAAGAUGCUGUCAGGAGGCACGAGGAAAGGCUAUGGGAGCACAAAGCAAGAAAGUGGCCUUCUGCAAGCCAGGAAGAGAGGCCUCCCCAGAAACCAACUCUGUGAGCUCAUCGAUCUUUGACUUUUGGCCUCCAGAACAUUGAGAAAAUAAAAGUCUGUUGUUAAACCACCCAA
Molecule: long non-coding RNA, 664 nt
Filed under: Homo sapiens (human)
Lineage: Eukaryota; Metazoa; Chordata; Mammalia; Primates; Hominidae
Description: long intergenic non-protein coding RNA 1731, transcript variant 1 (LINC01731)
Source: RNAcentral